RNAcentral lists this ribosomal RNA (253 nucleotides) under uncultured bacterium. RNAcentral describes it as "partial 16S ribosomal RNA". It matches the Rfam family "Bacterial small subunit ribosomal RNA", at positions 524 to 776 of the family's 1533-position model. The record is from RNAcentral.
UACGUAGGGAGCAAGCGUUGUCCGGAAUCAUUGGGCGUAAAGCGCGCGUAGGUGGCCCCAUAAGUCCGCUGUGAAAGUCAAAGGCUCAACCUUUGAAAGCCGGUGGAUACUGUGGGACUAGAGUACGGAAGAGGCGAGUGGAAUUCCUGGUGUAGCGGUGGAAUGCGCAGAUAUCAGGAGGAACACCAAUAGCGAAGGCAGCUCGCUGGGACGUUACUGACACUGAGGCGCGAAAGCGUGGGGAGCGAUCCGG